UGCAUUCGGAUGGUGCAAUGGUCAGCACAUCUGCCUAGCAAGCAGAAGACCUGGGUUCAAAUCUCAGUUCGGCAC
Molecule: non-coding RNA, 75 nt
Organism: Schistocerca gregaria
Lineage: Eukaryota; Metazoa; Arthropoda; Insecta; Orthoptera; Acrididae
Source: the annotation of a RefSeq genome assembly